ACGCCCGUGCCGCCCGUGCCGCCCGACGCAUUUUCUUUCCCGUCCGAAAAGGACGCCGCGACCGGUUCGGUUGCGGCCCGAAGGGCGAGAGCUGAGGCAGGUGGCCGGUGGCGUACUAAGCGGCGCCGCCGGUUGUUAGCCGUCUCGUCGCACGGCGCGUUGCCGGACCGUGGUUCUGGAGGACCCCCCCUUUCGGGGGGGUCCGAUCUCCGCCUCCCUCCCUUAAAAGGACGCGGGUUAGAAGCGGGCGACCCGUCUCGAUUCCCUUGCGGGGUGCACGGACGUACUCCGUGGCCCGUCGCAGGUGCGCGGUCGGCGGCGGUCGCCCGCGAAGGGCCCGUGGGAGUGGUCGGCGGUCGGCGGCGAGUAGAUCGGUCACCCACCCGACCCGUCUUGAAACACGGACCAAGGAGUCUAACAUGUAUGCGAGUCAAUGGGACUCGAAUAAGCCCGAAAGGCGUAAUGAAAGCGAUCUGUAAACGGGGCGCGCACUCGCUGCGCCCCACCUUGGUAAAAAGAGGUGUUGGGAUCCCCGCUCUCUCCGGGAGUUAGGGGCGCACCAGCGACCCGUCCUACCGUCCCGCCGUGUCAAAAGCGGCCGGGACUUGGGCGGAGUCCGAGCAUACACGUUGGGACCCGAAAGAUGGUGAACUAUGCCCGGACAGGACGAGGCCAGAGG
Molecule: ribosomal RNA, 679 nt
Filed under: Pimoa tehama
Lineage: Eukaryota; Metazoa; Arthropoda; Arachnida; Araneae; Pimoidae
Description: partial large subunit ribosomal RNA
Rfam family: Eukaryotic large subunit ribosomal RNA (bases 405-679)
Source: RNAcentral